RNAcentral lists this ribosomal RNA (322 nucleotides) under uncultured eukaryote. Its description in RNAcentral is "partial 18S ribosomal RNA". It matches the Rfam family "Eukaryotic small subunit ribosomal RNA", at positions 1470 to 1796 of the family's 1831-position model. The record is from RNAcentral.
CCCUUAGACGUCCUGGGCCGCACGCGCGCUACACUGACAUGUUCAACAAGUUUCUCCUAGUUCGACAGGACUGGGAAAUCUUUGAACGCAUGUCGUGAUAGGGAUAGAUCAUUGCAAUUAUUGAUCUUGAACGAGGAAUUCCUAGUAAACGCGAGUCAUCAGCUCGCAUUGAUUACGUCCCUGCCCUUUGUACACACCGCCCGUCGCACCUACCGAUUGAAUGUUUCGGUGAAGAUUCCGGAUAGGACUGAUUUGAUUUAUUUCAUUUCUGACCUAAAAGCUAUCUAAACCUCAACAUUUAGAGGAAGGUGAAGUCGUAACA